GAUGAACGCUGGCGGCGUGCCUAAUACAUGCAAGUCGAGCGAACAGACGAGGAGCUUGCUCCUCUGACGUUAGCGACGGACGGGCGAGUAACACGUGGAUAACCUACCUAUAAGACUGGGAUAACUUCGGGAAACCGGAGCUAAUACCGGAUAAUAUAUUGAACCGCAGGGUUCAAUAGUGAAAGACGGCUUUGCUGUCACUUAUAGAUGGAUCCGCGCCGCAUUAGCUAGUUGGUAAGGUAACGGCUUACCAAGGCAACGAUGCGUAGCUGACCUGAGAGGGUGAUCGGCCACACUGGAACUGAGACACGGUCCAGACUCCUACGGGAGGCAGCAGUAGGGAAUCUUCCGCAAUGGGCGAAAGCCUGACGGAGCAAUGCCGCGUGGGUGAUGAAGGUCUUCGGAUCGUAAAGCUCUGUUUUUAGGGAAGAACAAAUGUUUGAGUAGCUAUGGACGUCUUGACGGUACCUAAACAGAAAGCCACGGCUAACUACGUG
This 497-nucleotide ribosomal RNA is filed under the name uncultured bacterium. RNAcentral describes it as "partial 16S ribosomal RNA". It matches the Rfam family "Bacterial small subunit ribosomal RNA", at positions 28 to 507 of the family's 1533-position model. The record is from RNAcentral.